Molecule: ribosomal RNA, 253 nt
Filed under: uncultured prokaryote
Description: partial 16S ribosomal RNA
Rfam family: Bacterial small subunit ribosomal RNA
Source: RNAcentral
UACAGAGGGUGCAAGCGUUAAUCGGAAUUACUGGGCGUAAAGCGUGCGUAGACGGUUGCGUAAGUCAGAUGUGAAAGCCCCGGGCUCAACCUGGGAAUUGCAUUUGAGACUGCGUAGCUAGGGUGCGGAAGAGGAAAGUGGAAUUCCUGGUGUAGCGGUGAAAUGCGUAGAUAUCGGAAGGAACACCAGUGGCGAAAGCGGCUUCCUGGUCCAGCACCGACGUUCAGGUACGAAAGCAUGGGGAGCAAACAGG